Molecule: ribosomal RNA, 395 nt
Filed under: uncultured bacterium
Lineage: Bacteria
Description: partial 16S ribosomal RNA
Rfam family: Bacterial small subunit ribosomal RNA
Source: RNAcentral
AUACGUAGGGUGCAAGCGUUAAUCGGAAUUACUGGGCGUAAAGCGUGCGCAGGCGGUUUUGUAAGACAGAGGUGAAAUCCCCGGGCUCAACCUGGGAACUGCCUUUGUGACUGGAAGGCUAGAGUACGGAAGAGGGGGGUGGAAUUCCGCGUGUAGCAGUGGAAUGCGUAGAUAUGCGGAGGAACACCGAUGGCGAAGGCAAUCCCCUGGGCCUGUACUGACGCUCAUACACGAAAGCGUGGGGAGCAAACAGGAUUAGAUACCCUUGUAGUCCACGCCCUAAACGAUGUCAACUGGUUGUUGGGUCUUCAUUGACUCAGUAACGAAGCUAACGCGUUAAGUUGACCGCCUGGGGAGUACGGCCGCAAGGUUGAAACUCAAAGGAAUUGACGGGG